Molecule: long non-coding RNA, 726 nt
Organism: Drosophila miranda
Lineage: Eukaryota; Metazoa; Arthropoda; Insecta; Diptera; Drosophilidae
Exons: 2
Source: RefSeq, a predicted model, not a curated record
AGCCACUUAUGUGUCACGGACCCGCGAUAUAUUGGAGGCCGUCCAAUUCUGCGGAAAUUAUUAAAGCUAUGUAAACGGUCAGCCAAUUUCUACCCGAAAUAUAGAUCUGGGUCUCGACCUAUUUUCGUUUCCCCAUACGAAGUGCCGAGGAGUGCCCAGAUGUGAAGCCGGCGGCAACGACUGUCGUUUUUUUUAUAUCCAUCAGUGUAACCGCUGAUUCCUAUUUUUAUGCUAUAGUGUCAUUAGUGUAAUUAGCUUAGUAAAUUUCUUUUGGUUGUGUUUUUAAAUUCUGUUCGGAAGAAAUAGCAAGUGGAAUGUGUGACAGGGCGAAAGUGAACAACGGUUAAACGGCAGAGGAGAGCGUGAGUUUUUUUUUUGUAAAAGUAUUUCUCCAGCUUUCGUUUUAGGAACGUUGCCGCAGUCCAUGGAAGCGCUUUCAUCGCUGUUUCAACGCAUUUAUUAAAACAAAUCAAAGGAAGGCCUCAGGGGCUUCGUCGCUUAAGAGAGGCUGUGCGCUCUCCCUUAUGCCCUGCUGGCAACCAUAAGCGCUUACGCCGCGCAUAAGAACCAGCCCUCUUAAGAACAAGGCACAAAAGGGAAGAUGCGAGGCUGGUCGCUCUGACGUUCUUUUAUGCUUUCUACUUGCGGUUGCUUUCGCUAAUGCACUUGAAUAACUGACCUGCCAUAACGAUCGCGGCGCACAGUUUUUACAUUCCCUUUUGCAUA